RNAcentral lists this ribosomal RNA (490 nucleotides) under uncultured bacterium. RNAcentral's name for it is "bacterial SSU rRNA". It matches the Rfam family "Bacterial small subunit ribosomal RNA", at positions 40 to 507 of the family's 1533-position model. The record is from RNAcentral.
CGGCAGGCUUAAUACAUGCAAGUCGAGGGGCAUCAAGGUACACGAAAGUGUAUUGUUGGCGACCGGCGGACGGGUGAGUAAUAGGUAGGUAACCUACCUCAUACUGAGGCAUAGCUGGGAGAAAUUCCAGGUAAUUCCUCAUGAGGUUAUAUGACACAUGUGAUAUAAUCAAAGGUAUCGCAAGGGUACUGGUAUGAGAUGGGCUUACUGACCAUUAGUUAGUUGGUGAGGUAAGAGCUCACCAAGGCGAUGAUAGAUAGGCGGCCUUAACGGGUGGUCGCCCACACUGGGAUUGAGAUACGGCCCAGACUCCUACGGGAGGCAGCAGUCGAGAAUAGUCUACAAUGGCCGGAAGGCUGAUAGUGCGACGCCGCGUGAACGAGGGAGCCCUUCGGGGUGUAAAGUUCUUUUCUAUACGAGCAGUGCUAUAUAUAUGGAUAGUAUAUAUAGAGGGAUAGUAGUAUAGGAAUAAGCAACGGCUAACUCCGUG